Molecule: long non-coding RNA, 1111 nt
Organism: Homo sapiens (human)
Lineage: Eukaryota; Metazoa; Chordata; Mammalia; Primates; Hominidae
Gene: FGGY-DT
Product: FGGY divergent transcript
Source: Ensembl
CCUCCGCCCCGUGGCAAGUUCCCUUCUCAACUGCCCUGCGCCUCCGCUGGCCCGCGUGAAACCCUCUCUGCUGCCUCGACUGACUGUCGUUUCCGUGUCUUGAUUGUGGCCUCUGCCUCUCCCCCUUCCGAUUUCGUUCGACUUCUUUCUACAGUUACUAAGCGCCCACUGUGUGCCCUGGAAGGGACUAGACUCAGCAGGAAAAACAUCCAGGCAAGUGGACAGCAUUUGCAACAGCCCAGCAAUAAGAAGGACCAUAUUCUACUUGGGAAAAGGUAAAGUCGUUUCAUAUGGACGGAGCCUGCCAGGAAACCUGUCAUUCAACCCUUUGCAAUAAAACAGCUCCUCAUGAAUGAAGCAAAAUAAAUCAGAAGUUGUGGGCUUUUAAACUCACUAAAUGAAAGCACAGCAUGCAUGCAGCCUCCCUCCAAAUUAAUCACCAGAUUAAAUGCAAGAUGUGCACACCAAAUCAAUAGCUUGUGACGGGGACCUCCUGCCUGUGCUUCAGGAAAAUUCCAUUUCCUUUCAGAUGUUGUCGCUUGAAAUGUCAGGAAGUUUCCAUUCAUCACCCGCCCUUGAAAAUGCCACCAUCACCAUACUUCAUGUUUCCUUGCUUUCUUUCUUCAGAGGAAUCCAAGCACCUUGCAGAGGGAGCCCACUCCUUGUCACAGACUCUCCUGGAGGCUGAAACAGGGGCAGUCUGCACAGAGGAGAGGUGUAGAGAGGCGCGAUUUAGAAAUAAGAAAACCAAAUCGUAAAGAAGCCUAAUGUCUUGUUGCAACAUCUGAAAGAAACAAGAUGAAUAUAUUCCACUAGGUGGGAAGCUUAGGGUAGUGGGAAGAACAUGGAUUCAGGACUUUGAGAAACAUGGAUUUAAAUUUUGAUCCCCAAUGCCUCUCUGCACUUCACUGUUAUCUAUAAAAUAGAGGAAAUAAAAAUACUAUACAUUCAAGUCUUAACACCAACAGUUAACUAGUUGUGUAACCUUGGACAAGUUAUGUGACCUCUCUGUCUGAGCAUUGUCAUUUGUAUAUGAGAUCAUGGAGGUUAAAUGUCCAACCUGUUGUCACUGUGCACCUCAAAAUAAUAAAUAAAACAUUUCAUCUCUCAA